UUAAUUAAUAUUAUUUCAUAAAAGAAACUAUUUAUUUGUUCUUCUAAAUAUGCCCUAACCUCUUUCCGAUCCCCUUUGAGCGUACCCAGCCAGAACCUCCAUUGUCCUGCCACUAUCCGCCAUCGACCUCCGUCGCACCUGCCAAUAUCCCGCCGUCAACCUUCGUCAACACCAGCAGAACCUCAAUUUUCUUUUUCCUCCACCUAUCAAAUUUAUCUCCUCCACCAGAAACAGCAACCAUUCAAUUAAUCAAAGCUCCAUGGUUUCAAAUAGUCCCAAAAUUCUAGGGUUUUUUUCUCGAUUAAGCUCGACUACAACUUCUUAUUCUCACUGAGCCUUAACUGUAGGUUUUCGCUCGACUCUCGCAAAGCUCUUCUUUUAUUCCUUUUGUAAUUUCUCAAUAGUUGAGCCAUAACUUGUAAGUUUUCUUAAAUGCAACUGAUAGCUGGUUUCUCAAUAGAUGAAAAUGCAACUGAUAGUUGUGGGAUAAAUAAUUAAUUUAAACAAGAUUCAGAAGGUGAAAAGCCUUGUGCUUGUUAUACAUAUUGUAUCUAUGGUUCUAUGCAAGGAAGGAGGCAUUACAGUUACAAUAGCUUAUUAUAGUAAACAUCAAUGUGCAAGAUUUCUUACUAGCUUAUUGUAUUGGUUGGAGUAGAAGGCACAUCUUUGUCUCUUCUUGAAUCUUUGCAACUGUUUGAGAACAAGUUUUCUGGUGAGAUUCCUAUUGAAUUUGAAAGGGAAAAUGACUGAUCUUUUGCUAGUCUUUUCAUUCUUGGAACAAAUUAUUAUAAUGAACAUCGCCGCACGACUUCAGCGUCUGAACCCAGAUUUGCGACUUGAUCAUGACAUGCUAAGGUUCAGUGCACGUUCACCUGUAGAAGCUUCCUCUGCACAUCAAGCUGCUAUUCAACUAAACAAUCGACCAUCUGCUGGUAGUAACAAUCAAGAUCAGUGGAGUAGAUCAAGAAAUGGAUGAUGAAGGCAGUGAAGAACUAAACCUUGAGAUGAAUUUUGAAUUGCUAUAGAUGAAUGUUCUAGGAAUCUUUUGUUAUCAGCAUUUUUGAAACUCACUCUCUUGAAAUGUACUAAACUUAUGCACUUGGGGUAGAACAUUUGCUUUAUGGAUAUUAUUUGCAUGAUGGAUAAUUUAUAUUAUUAAUAGUUUCAUUUUA
Nicotiana tabacum (common tobacco) is the source of this 1172-nucleotide long non-coding RNA. RefSeq lists it as uncharacterized. The record is from RefSeq and is a predicted model, not a curated record. NCBI's taxonomy places the organism in Eukaryota, Viridiplantae, Streptophyta, Magnoliopsida, Solanales, Solanaceae.